GAGGAAGGUGGGGACGACGUCAAAUCAUCAUGCCCCUUAUGUCUUGGGCUACACACGUGCUACAAUGGCAGUUACAGAGGGAAGCGAAGGCGCAAGUUGGAGCAAAUCCCAAAAAAGCUGUCCCAGUUCGGAUUGUGGGCUGCAACCCGCCCACAUGAAGUCGGAGUUGCUAGUAAUCGCGGAUCAGCAUGCCGCGGUGAAUACGUUCCCGGGCCUUGUACACACCGCCCGUCACACCAUGGGAGUUGGGAGCGCCCGAAGUCAGUAUCCUAACCGUAAGGGGGGAGCUGCCGAAGGCGAGAUCAAUGACUGGGGUGAAGUCGUAACAAGGUA
This 333-nucleotide ribosomal RNA is filed under the name unidentified low G+C gram-positive bacterium. RNAcentral describes it as "SSU rRNA". It matches the Rfam family "Bacterial small subunit ribosomal RNA", at positions 1166 to 1498 of the family's 1533-position model. Lineage: Bacteria; Bacillati; Bacillota. The record is from RNAcentral.